This 560-nucleotide ribosomal RNA is filed under the name Myochromella boudieri. Its description in RNAcentral is "partial 12S ribosomal RNA". It matches the Rfam family "Bacterial small subunit ribosomal RNA", at positions 410 to 911 of the family's 1533-position model. The record is from RNAcentral. Lineage: Eukaryota; Fungi; Basidiomycota; Agaricomycetes; Agaricales; Lyophyllaceae.
GAAAUCACAUGAGCCUUUUAAAUAUUGGUGAUUGUGAUAACGUAAGGGAAAAAAAUGAUAUUACCUUACUAUUAGUGUUGUCCAAAACUGGUGCCAGAAGACUCGGUAAGGCCAGAGACGCGAACGUUAGUCGUCCUAAUCAGGCGUAAAGGGUGUGUAGGCUGCUUUUAAAGUUAUAUUUCUCGAAAAGCUCUUUCAAUUUAAUUGCUACCUUUACCCUCGCUAAAGCGAAAUAAGGAUAAGGGAUAGUGAUUAUAUUUAAAGGAAAAAAUAUAAUGAAUAAAAGCUAGGAUCAAAACGAGGAUAAGCCAAAUAAUACUUAGAGUAGGGAUAAUAUCUGUAGAUACUAAGUGGAAUACUAAAGGUGAAAGCUUUUUAUCUAGUAAUGAUUGACGCUGAGAAACGAAGGUGAGAAUAGGAAAUAGGAUUAGAUACCCAGAUACCUCUCACUGUCAACGAUGAAUGGUGGUUGUUAGUUUAUUAUGAAACUGGUAACGAUGUUAACACGAUAACCAUUCCGCCUUGCGAGUACGGUUGCAAAACUGAAACCAAAAAAAUUA